Long non-coding RNA from Girardinichthys multiradiatus, 271 nucleotides. RefSeq lists it as uncharacterized. Lineage: Eukaryota; Metazoa; Chordata; Actinopteri; Cyprinodontiformes; Goodeidae. The transcript has 3 exons. The record is from RefSeq and is a predicted model, not a curated record.
UUGCUAUAAUCAUGAAGGAUUACAACAUCCAGAAUACAGGUCAGGCUGCUUUUAUUGAUUCAUUUGCAAUGACAGCAAUAUGGCAGGAAAAAGUCCAAGAUUAAAGCACAGAUGAACCCAAUGGAUUAUGAAGUAAUUCUGGGAAUUAAUAAUUGUCACAACCACUGGACAUCAGUGGUGAUCUACCCACAAGACAAAAGAUCUUUUUUCUUGGAUCCACUGGGGGAGUCAAAGCAAGACAUCCAGAAAUGUUUGCAAAGCUCAAGCUAUG